This is an RNA transcript of Dendrobium catenatum, 1371 nucleotides long. It is a transcript of the gene named EEF1A lysine methyltransferase 4, with no coding region annotated. The transcript has 13 exons. The record is from RefSeq and is a predicted model, not a curated record. NCBI's taxonomy places the organism in Eukaryota, Viridiplantae, Streptophyta, Magnoliopsida, Asparagales, Orchidaceae.
UAUAUAAUGAUAUGUACUGUGGAUGCUUUUGUUUCCCGAAGCAACGGCCGUUCAUCUCCACGGCUACGCUCACGGAGUUCGAGCUAGAAACAGAGAGAGAGAUGUCUUCUUCGACGGCGACGCACGCGUACGGUGAGCCAUCCUAUUGGGAUCAGCGUUACAGCGAAGAUCCGGGCCCUUUCGACUGGUACCAGAAGUACAAAACCCUAGCCCCUCUCUUCGAUGUCUACAUCCGUCGUUCCCAUCACCUCCUCGUCGUCGGCUGCGGCAACUCUACACUCGGAGAAGAGUUGGUCUCUGAUGGUUACUUGGAUGUUGUCAACAUUGAUAUAUCAUCAGUUGUGGUUGAGGCUAUGCAGAAGAAACACGAGGACAAACCAGAGCUGAAGUACAUUAAAAUGGAUGUACGGGAUAUGAGUGCAUUUGAAUCUAGUUCUUUUGAUGCUGUUAUUGAUAAAGGAACACUGGACUCUCUCAUGUGUGGCCAGAAUGCACAUCAUAAUACAUCGAAGAUGUUGGAGGAGGUUGGCAGGAUCCUAAAAGACAAUGGUGUCUAUAUCCUGAUUACAUAUGGAGAGCCAAGCUAUAGGUUGCAUUUGUUGAAGGAGCUGCAAUUGUGGACCAUAAAUUUGCAUGUAAUAGAUAGGAUGGAGAAGAAUCCAGAGCAGAGGGCCUGGGAGUUAACCAAACCACUUCCAUUAAGCAAAGAUGGCAACUCAAUCGCUGAUAUUAUCGGCUCAAAUGCUGAAGUUCACUACAUCUAUGUGUGCAUCAAGGAUGAAACUUUGAUACGGCAGGCCAAUGUAAAUGCCAAGCCCGAAGCCGAAGAGAGUAGAUCGUAAAUGCUGCUGCAGCCCUCUCAAACGCAACAUUAGAGUGAUGGCACGGCAUACCUAAGCAUUUGAUCGGGAGGGAGAAAGAAACCUCGAGCGAUUGUGCAAUAGACCCAUGCAAUUGACCAAGAGGAAGACGCUGCGAAUAAUGAACUCUCCCCGCUCACAAGAUCGGCUCUCGACGCGGAAGAAUCUCCCGCUCACGAGAUCUGCCCUGGCCUCGGAAGACUCUCCCCGUUCAGGCGAACGGCUCUCGAUGCUGAAGAAGAAAUGAGCAUUCGAUGUUAAUGAAGCUGCAUGCCAAAGUCUAAUGUCAAAUUAUCCAGAAGUUCAGAGAAUUCACUGCCUAGCUGUAGCUGCAUAUGCGCUUGUUUGAGAUAAGUUCACUUUAUAGAGUUUGAGAUAAAUGACCCUCUUACUUUAUCAAACUCCUCGAUGGCUAUAUUUAAGUAACACUUAUGCUUCUUUAUCCUCUUCUCCAGCUGCUAUAUUUGAUUUAAAUGUAUCAUAUACAUAUUUAAUAAUUUGUCAUUUAAUU